GCCACGAGAAUCAGAGCCCACACACACGCUCAGCCACGAGAAUCAGAGCCCACACACACGCUCAGCCACGAGAAUCAGAGCCCACACACACCCUCAGCUACGAGAAUCAGAGCCCAUACACACGCUCAGCCACGAGAAUCAGAGCCCACACACACCCUCAGCCAACGAGAAUCAGAGCGCACACACACGCUCAGCCAACGAGAAUCAGAGCCUCACACACCCCCAGCCACAAGAAUCAAAGCCCACACACACACACGCUCAGGCACGAGAAUCAUAGUCUAUACACACAAUACCAUUGACAAUGGUUAGUUUUUAGGUGUUUAAGGGUAAACAAAUCCUUCUAAGUUCACAGGGCCUUUCAGUCUCAUGUUGCAUACAGACGUCUCACUUCUGUGUGGGGAGUCAUGUGACCUGGCAUGCUUUUUGUAAGUGUUCACAUGUCUCUCUGUCUCCCCUCUAGGCGUUAAGAGAAACGGGGGGGGGCGGGGAGGUGAGGCGCCCAUGCAGCUUAGAGAAGGAGGCCCGGAAAGGGCCUCAUGCUGUCCAGCGUGGUUGUGCUGCGGCUGAUGCAGAUGUCCAGUGGAGACAUUGGGACACGAUGGGCCGUCGUGCCGGAACAGAGCAGCUUCUCCGGCUGCAGUGGCGAUUUCAUCAGGAAGACAAUCAGCUUGAAUUCACACUUUCGAAACGCGCUUCGUCUGAAUGAAAAAGAACAGAGGAGCUGGCAGAGUGAAAUGCAGCCAAAAUGCAAAGAAAUCUGUAUUCUGCUCCCCUCAACACGUGCAGACGAUGAGCUGUUGGGGUCAUUUGCCUCCUUUUAUUAAUUUUUAAAUUGAAUAAUAGCUUAAGGUAUGAACACUCCUGUUUAUACUUUGUAUUUUACAGACUUCACUUUGAUAUUUAAUUAAAAAAUUUGGAAAAUUA
Non-coding RNA from Paramormyrops kingsleyae, 924 nucleotides. The record is from RefSeq and is a predicted model, not a curated record. Lineage: Eukaryota; Metazoa; Chordata; Actinopteri; Osteoglossiformes; Mormyridae.